CCUCAGGACGAUGAUGAUAUUGCUUCAUAUGUUCUGGCCGGUCUAGAUGAUCAAUACAACGGCUUUGUUGCAGCGAUUACCGCACUGAUUAGGGCUCAGCAAUCUGUGAGUCUUGGUGAUUUGUAUUCGCAGUUUCUUGC
This is a small nucleolar RNA of Lolium rigidum, 140 nucleotides long. RefSeq annotates it as small nucleolar RNA Z247. The transcript has a single exon. NCBI's taxonomy places the organism in Eukaryota, Viridiplantae, Streptophyta, Magnoliopsida, Poales, Poaceae. The record is from RefSeq and is a predicted model, not a curated record.